AAAUCCCAACGAUGAGGUACGUUUCGUAUAUGCAUUGGAGUAGUUGAUUCCUUUUAAAUAUUAUUCGCUCAGUCAAUUAAUGAGCUUUCGGCCUUUGGUUAAGUUGAUCCCUUAUGUGUGAAUAUAAGGGUUGGAAAUGUGAAGUAGGACUGAUUUUUGAGAAUAUGUGUAUAUGAAAUUAUCCGUUUAGUUAUAUGAAUGCUAUACUUCAGUUGUG
RNAcentral lists this long non-coding RNA (217 nucleotides) under Gossypium barbadense (sea-island cotton). RNAcentral's name for it is "long non-coding RNA (GBAR_LNC003182)". The record is from RNAcentral. Lineage: Eukaryota; Viridiplantae; Streptophyta; Magnoliopsida; Malvales; Malvaceae.